GGGUUCAUGGCGUAGUGGUUAUCGCGUCUGUCUUACAUGUGGUUGUUCAGCCUUUCGUGUUUCACAGAAGGUCGCCAGUUCGACCCUGGCUGAGCUCA
Mycena vitilis is the source of this 98-nucleotide non-coding RNA. Lineage: Eukaryota; Fungi; Basidiomycota; Agaricomycetes; Agaricales; Mycenaceae. The record is from the annotation of a GenBank genome assembly.